AGUCGAGCGGUAGCACAGAGAGCUUGCUCUCGGGUGACGAGCGGCGGACGGGUGAGUAAUGUCUGGGAAACUGCCUGAUGGAGGGGGAUAACUACUGGAAACGGUAGCUAAUACCGCAUAACGUCGCAAGACCAAAGUGGGGGACCUUCGGGCCUCAUGCCAUCAGAUGUGCCCAGAUGGGAUUAGCUGGUAGGUGGGGUAACGGCUCACCUAGGCGACGAUCCCUAGCUGGUCUGAGAGGAUGACCAGCCACACUGGAACUGAGACACGGUCCAGACUCCUACGGGAGGCAGCAGUGGGGAAUAUUGCACAAUGGGCGCAAGCCUGAUGCAGCCAUGCCGCGUGUGUGAAGAAGGCCUUCGGGUUGUAAAGCACUUUCAGCGGGGAGGAAGGCGGUGAGGUUAAUAACCUCAUCGAUUGACGUUACCCGCAGAAGAAGCACCGGCUAACUCCGUGCCAGCAGCCGCGGUAAUACGGAGGGUGCAAGCGUUAAUCGGAAUUACUGGGCGUAAAGCGCACGCAGGCGGUCUGUCAAGUCGGAUGUGAAAUCCCCGGGCUCAACCUGGGAACUGCAUUCGAAACUGGCAGGCUAGAGUCUUGUAGAGGGGGGUAGAAUUCCAGGUGUAGCGGUGAAAUGCGUAGAGAUCUGGAGGAAUACCGGUGGCGAAGGCGGCCCCCUGGACAAAGACUGACGCUCAGGUGCGAAAGCGUGGGGAGCAAACAGGAUUAGAUACCCUGGUAGUCCACGCUGUAAACGAUGUCGAUUUGGAGGUUGUGCCCUUGAGGCGUGGCUUCCGGAGCUAACGCGUUAAAUCGACCGCCUGGGGAGUACGGCCGCAAGGUUAAAACUCAAAUGAAUUGACGGGGGCCCGCACAAGCGGUGGAGCAUGUGGUUUAAUUCGAUGCAACGCGAAGAACCUUACCUGGUCUUGACAUCCACAGAACUUUCCAGAGAUGGAUUGGUGCCUUCGGGAACUGUGAGACAGGUGCUGCAUGGCUGUCGUCAGCUCGUGUUGUGAAAUGUUGGGUUAAGUCCCGCAACGAGCGCAACCCUUAUCCUUUGUUGCCAGCGGUUAGGCCGGGAACUCAAAGGAGACUGCCAGUGAUAAACUGGAGGAAGGUGGGGAUGACGUCAAGUCAUCAUGGCCCUUACGACCAGGGCUACACACGUGCUACAAUGGCAUAUACAAAGAGAAGCGACCUCGCGAGAGCAAGCGGACCUCAUAAAGUAUGUCGUAGUCCGGAUUGGAGUCUGCAACUCGACUCCAUGAAGUCGGAAUCGCUAGUAAUCGUAGAUCAGAAUGCUACGGUGAAUACGUUCCCGGGCCUUGUACACACCGCCCGUC
Molecule: ribosomal RNA, 1346 nt
Filed under: Klebsiella variicola
Lineage: Bacteria; Pseudomonadati; Pseudomonadota; Gammaproteobacteria; Enterobacterales; Enterobacteriaceae
Description: bacterial SSU rRNA
Rfam family: Bacterial small subunit ribosomal RNA
Source: RNAcentral